This 446-nucleotide ribosomal RNA is filed under the name uncultured marine bacterium. RNAcentral describes it as "bacterial SSU rRNA". It matches the Rfam family "Bacterial small subunit ribosomal RNA", at positions 8 to 452 of the family's 1533-position model. The record is from RNAcentral.
AGAGUUUGAUCAUGGCUCAGAUUGAACGCUGGCGGUAUGCUUAACACAUGCAAGUCGAACGGAAACGAUACUAGCUUGCUAGUAGGCGUCGAGUGGCGGACGGGUGAGUAACGCGUAGGAAUCUGCCUGAUAGUGGGGGAUAGCCCGAAGAAAUUCGGAUUAAUACCGCAUAAUCUAUUCGUAGUAAAGUGAGGGACUUUCGAGCCUCACGCUAUCAGAUGAGCCUGCGUAAGAUUAGCUAGUUGGUAGGGUAAAAGCCUACCAAGGCAACGAUCUUUAGCUGGUCUGAGAGGAUGAUCAGCCACAUCGGGACUGAGACACGGCCCGAACUCCUACGGGAGGCAGCAGUGGGGAAUAUUGGACAAUGGGGGCAACCCUGAUCCAGCAAUACCGCGUGUGUGAAGAAGGCCUGAGGGUUGUAAAGCACUUUCAAUUGUGAAGAAAAG